UACACGGAAGGCAGCAGUGGGGAAUAUUGCACAAUGGGCGCAAGCCUGAUGCAGCCAUGCCGCGUGUAUGAAGAAGGCCUUCGGGUUGUAAAGUACUUUCAGUCGUGAGGAAGGUGUUAAGGUUAAUAACCUUAGCAAUUGACGUUAGCGACAGAAGAAGCACCGGCUAACUCCGUGCCAGCAGCCGCGGUAAUACGGAGGGUGCGAGCGUUAAUCGGAAUUACUGGGCGUAAAGGGCACGCAGGCGGUUAAUUAAGUUGGAUGUGAAAUCCCCGGGCUUAACCUGGGAAUGGCAUUCAAGACUGGUUAGCUAGAGUCUUGUAGAGGGGGUAGAAUUCCAUGUGUAGCGGUGAAAUGCGUAGAGAUGUGGAGGAAUACCGGUGGCGAAGGCGGCCCCUGGGACAAAGACUGACGCUCAUGUGCGAAAGCGUGGGGAGCAAACAGGGAUUAGAUACC
RNAcentral lists this ribosomal RNA (456 nucleotides) under uncultured bacterium. RNAcentral's name for it is "bacterial SSU rRNA". It matches the Rfam family "Bacterial small subunit ribosomal RNA", at positions 338 to 786 of the family's 1533-position model. The record is from RNAcentral.